This 253-nucleotide ribosomal RNA is filed under the name uncultured bacterium. RNAcentral describes it as "partial 16S ribosomal RNA". It matches the Rfam family "Bacterial small subunit ribosomal RNA", at positions 524 to 776 of the family's 1533-position model. The record is from RNAcentral.
UACGUAGGGUGCGAGCGUUGUCCGGAAUUAUUGGGCGUAAAGAGCUUGUAGGCGGUUUGUCGCGUCUGCCGUGAAAAUCCGGGGCUCAACCCCGGACUUGCGGUGGGUACGGGCAGACUAGAGUGCGGUAGGGGAGACUGGAAUUCCUGGUGUAGCGGUGAAAUGCGCAGAUAUCAGGAGGAACACCGGUGGCGAAGGCGGAUCUCUGGGCCUUUACUGACGCUGAGGAGCGAAAGCGUGGGGAGCGAACAGG